CUGCAGCCAAAUUAAGCCAACUGUCCUCCCUCCCUGUAGGGGCCAAUGUCCAAUGGCUGCAAACAGCAGCCUUCUCGGUGGUGUAUGCAGCCUGUUGCAUGUACGAGUUCUCUAAGGGACACUGGAGAGAGCC
Small nucleolar RNA from Trichechus manatus latirostris (Florida manatee), 133 nucleotides. RefSeq annotates it as small nucleolar RNA SNORA70. The record is from RefSeq and is a predicted model, not a curated record. Lineage: Eukaryota; Metazoa; Chordata; Mammalia; Sirenia; Trichechidae. The transcript has a single exon.